This 253-nucleotide ribosomal RNA is filed under the name uncultured bacterium. RNAcentral's name for it is "partial 16S ribosomal RNA". It matches the Rfam family "Bacterial small subunit ribosomal RNA", at positions 524 to 776 of the family's 1533-position model. The record is from RNAcentral.
UACGUAGGGACCGAGCGUUGUCCGGAAUCAUUGGGCGUAAAGAGCGUGUAGGCGGCCACUUCAGUCCUGCGUGAAAUCUUGCGGCUCAACCGCAAGCGGUCGUGGGAAACUGGGUGGCUAGAGUGCGGGAGAGGAGAGUGGAAUUCCUGGUGUAGCGGUGGAAUGCGCAGAUAUCAGGAAGAACACCCGUGGCGAAGGCGGCUCUCUGGACAGUUCCUGACGCUGAGGCACGAAGGUCAGGGGAGCAAACGGG